CAACCGCAGGACAAGUGCAGCGUGGCCCGAAGUCUGGCUUCUCCGUGUGUCUUGGCCUGACUCGGGCAGCUCGGCCCCUGCCUGGGGGAAUGGGUGCUGAAAUGUGCAGCCGCAGGAUGCUCCGGGAUAUUACAGGGGAUUAACAGGUGAGAAUUAGCUAUAACCUGGCAAAGAAGGAUCGCCAGCGCAAAGGGUUGUCAGACUAACGGGAAAUAGUAUAUGGAAACGGAAUACGAACUACAUAUUUAUUGUUGCGUUAGAUAUUUAAAAAUAGAAAAUCACAUAAACAAUGUACUUACGAUUAUAUAUAGAUAUUUGUACUGAAUAUGGAAAAUGCAUAUCAAUGAAAUAUUGGAAAGAAGAAGAAAGAAGGAAAGAAAGAAAGAAAGAAAGAAAGAAAGAAAGAAAGAAAGAAAGAAAGAAAGAAAAAAAGGAAAGUAAAGGAAAGAAAGAUAGAUUAAUUUAGAGGUGAUAUAGUUGCAGGAUAGUAGAUGGUGGGGUUGGAUUGAACAAAAAAAAACAAAAGACGAGACAGAUGAUGAUAAUGUUUGAUAUAUAUAUAAAUGUACAGUUGCUUAUGGCAUGGACCCAGAAAGCAAGAGCUAUGUUUCUAGUUCACAAACAAAGUAAUCUUCGCCAAAUCAAAUACUGUUUUAAAAUUCUUCCAGACUUUGUUAAAAACAACAAAAAAAGUUACAAGAGAUAAGAAAAGAAAAAUAAAAUUGCCUGUCAUCUA
This is a long non-coding RNA of Xenopus tropicalis (tropical clawed frog), 736 nucleotides long. RefSeq lists it as uncharacterized. The transcript is spliced from 2 exons. The record is from RefSeq and is a predicted model, not a curated record. Lineage: Eukaryota; Metazoa; Chordata; Amphibia; Anura; Pipidae.